UCCUGGCUCAGGAUGAACGCUGGCGGCGUGCUUAACACAUGCAAGUCGAACGAAGCCAAAAGGAAGCUUGCUUCUUGAAGCUUAGUGGCGGACGGGCGAGUAACGCGUGAGUAACCUGCCCUUAAGUGGGGAAUAACACAGAGAAAUCUGUGCUAAUACCGCAUAAUGUCGGAGAGCCGCAUGACUCUCCGACCAAAGGAUUUAUUCGCUUAAGGAUGGACUCGCGUCCGAUUAGCUAGUUGGUGAGGUAACGGCCCACCCAAGGCGACGAUCGGUAGCCGAACUGAGAGGUUGAUCGGCCACAUUGGGACUGAGACACGGCCCAGACUCCUACGGGAGGCAGCAGUGGGGAAUAUUGGGCAAUGGGCGAAAGCCCUGACCCAGCAACGCCGCGUGAAGGAAGACGGUCUUCGGAUUGUAAACUUCUUUGAUUGGGGAAGAACAAAAUGACCUACCCAAAGAACAAGUCACGGCUAACUACGUGCCAGCCGCAGC
This 495-nucleotide ribosomal RNA is filed under the name uncultured bacterium. RNAcentral's name for it is "bacterial SSU rRNA". It matches the Rfam family "Bacterial small subunit ribosomal RNA", at positions 17 to 518 of the family's 1533-position model. The record is from RNAcentral.